UACUGAGAGACUUGCAGAGGCCAACACCAAGCUUUUUGGAGUGCCACAGAAGCAGAUCUGUGGUCACAAGCAGCGCUGUCAGCGGAGUUCUGGCUGCAAGUCCACUUCUGGAUUCACCUGGCCUGGGACAUGUUGGCCUCAGUUUGGGACUGAGCAGAAGUCUGGCUCUCAGAACACCACCCAGACACCUGUGGUAAAGCCCAAGACUUCUGCUCAUCAGUACAUCCUGUGAGGGACCGUUCAGAUGGAUGGAACGAAUUGCUUCCUUUCCUUAAUUUCGACACCCACGGCCUAGUAGCCAGUUUCCUUAAUGGUGACCUUCAAGGUUUGGUAGCAAAGACUCCAAGAUCAGCUCUAACCCAUCCCUACAUUGCUCAGCGACAAUGAUCCUAGUGGUGAAGGCAGCGAAACUGCUACUUAAAAUUGGAGAGGUGGUGCUGCAUUGGUCCCCUUGUUGUACGAAAGGAAUCGCUGGAGCUUUGGGGACAAGAAGUGCCAACGGCCACGACAACUGUACACAGGCAACAGUAUCGGAGGAACCGAGAUGCUGUGACCCCCAUCCAUCCAUCCAGUACAUCCAUGACAUCAUUGUGGGGGGGACACAGCAGAAGAAGUUUUCGAGAAAGGACAGAAGAUCAUCCAGAUUCUCCUCGAGGCCUGUUUUGCCAUCAAGAAGAGUAAGGUCAAGGGCCCUGCCCAAGAGAUCCAGUUCCUAGGGCUGAAAUGGCAAAUGGACGACACCAGAUACCAACAGACGUCCUCAACAAGAUUGUAGCAAUGGCUCCACCCACAAACAAGAAAGAAACCCAAGCUUUUCUUGGAGCCAUUGGCUUCUGGAGGAUGCACAUCCCAGAGUACAGCCAGAUGCUGGAGAUAAAGGUCCCUCCUGGAGCCUCUGGCCAAAGGUGCCUGGUGAGACGUGAGGGCGACCACUGGGUUUCUGGAGCCGAAGCCACAGAGGUUCUGAGGCCAAUUCCACCCCUGUGGAGAAGGAAAUCUUAGCAGCCUAUGAAGGCAUACGAGCAGCUUCAGAGCUUUCAGAUUCAGCAAUGUCCUCACUCCCGACAGACCAGGGUCCCCUUUCCAGAGUAAUGGAGGAGCACCGUGAUUUUUUAAUCCAAAAUUCCCGGAUUGGAAUGAAAUGCUCUGGAAAGGCUCUGGAAAUCAUUGGGUGUUCACAAUCAUCAAUGAAGAUGUUCACCAGGAAUUGCUGAUCACUGGCCUCCAGCUGGAUGUUGCACUCCUGAUCACCACCCCAGCCAGCAGAUUUCAACCAGCCUGCUGUCUGCUCAUCCAGCCCAUACUUCAUGGGCUUCUCUGUGAGGGAGCCCUGUCUGUGUGCACUAGUACACACAUUCAUUUGGAUUUUAAAAAAUCAAACAGAAGUGAUUGUUUUAACAGCACAAUUAUUUUUCAAAGGGAAAUAGAAGGGUAUGGCUUUGAUGGAACGAGUGCCUUCAAGCUCCAUUGGCAGGCACUGUUUGAAAACUAUUUGGGUGAUUUUUGAUAAGAAAUGAAAGAUACAACAGCAGGAAGCCAUUCAGCAAUCCCUGACAAGGGAGGUCCACUGUCAAUUGCUGGGAGGGCCCCCACCUGUUUCUUUUAAUGGUGCUCCCAAAUCCCACCCCUUGGGCCUCCCAUCCCAUCCUUUUUGGUCCCUCAGGCAUCUCCUCCCCAGGAUCUGCUCUGUGCCCUACCCAGGGUCCCCAAAUAUCCUCCCAUUAAUCAUUCCCAAAGCUUUUCUUUCCAUCCUUCCCCUCAGACCUUUGCCUUUCACCCAGGCCACUGCCCUGGUACCUCCCAAGACCAUUCCUUGACUCCCUCUCCACUCCCAACCAUCUCCCAGUGCCCUCGUUUUUGUCCUCCUCCAUCCUCCUCCUCCUGUCCCCACCAAGCCUCUCCCUUGCAGUCCCCAUGUCCCCACACUUGAAUUCCUUUCCCCUCCCCUGCAUCCCACACAGGGCCCCUUCAACACCCCAAUCCCAGUCCCGUGGGCUCCCCAGUUCCCCCCAGUUCAGCAUCUUUGGGUCCCCCCCAACCUCCCCCCACCCUCCCUGCAGGCCCUGAAUUCCCCUGGCUCUCCUUGUCUCCAUCCCAACCCUGGGCCCUGCAGGAACUGGGAUCCCAGGGGAAACUGGGUGCAGUGGGGCUGGGGGGAGCAGAAGGGAUUUUCCCCCUCAGACGGGGGGCAGCCCUGGGCUGGGGGGGCUGGGGACCCCCGUGUCCCUCCCCCAGCCCCACAGGGGCCAAUCCUGCUUAACCCUUUGCUCUCCUUGCCCAGGCACUCUUGGCAGGAACCCAAAAUGAUCUGCGGGAGGUGAGUGGGCCGGGGGGACUGGAGGGCAUCCAGUCUGGGAACUGGGGGACACUUUGGUCCCCCCAUCCCUCGCUGGCACCGGGGACAUCCCAGUGACCAGCCAGGGCUCCUGGUCUCUCUCCAGCUGCAUUUAGUGGACGUUGGGAUCCUGAAGAUGGCUCAGGCUCCCAAUACAUCCCACUACACCCAGUGUGUCCCUAACCCUGUCUUUGUCCCCAGCCCCCUGUGGUGGAGAAGGUGCUGGGUCCUGUUGGUGAGAAAGGCGUGGCUGCAUCCCUGGGUGGCUGAGGACUGGUGGUGACACCCGUGCCCUGUCCCCCUCCAGUGGCAUGAGGAGAUGAUCAUCCCUGGAAGAACCCCCUGCUUUCCCUCAGAGCCCAGGGCCAUUUCCCCUGAAUGAUCAAUAAAUCCCUUCAGCAAAGCUA
Molecule: long non-coding RNA, 2742 nt
Organism: Pipra filicauda (Wire-tailed manakin)
Lineage: Eukaryota; Metazoa; Chordata; Aves; Passeriformes; Pipridae
Exons: 8
Source: RefSeq, a predicted model, not a curated record